GGCGGCGGGGCCGUGGGGCCGGCGGGAGCCGAGCGGCGGGGCUCGGCCCGGCACGCCCUACACCGUGCCCAUCGGCCUCCGUUUGACCGACUCAUCUCAGUCCAUUUGAACAGAAAAAAGAUGAACAAAACUUGAUGAGGCAAGGAUCCCUGCAGAGACAAGGCGAUUAUGAAAAAAAGUAAAGUGAAAAAAACAGAAUCAGAAGAGAUUAAAGUAAUUACUUCAACCAAAUUGUCCAAAUCGUAUUUAGGCCUGAUCCUACAACUUCUCACCUGCAGUAGGUCUCUGUGCUUUACACCACUUUGCAGGCAUGCAAAAGGUAGUAGAUUGAGGCAUUCAGAAGAUUUCUUCUCUUAUCAUCAUGGUAAAUGUCUGGAAGUGGUAGUGAGAGAACAGAGAGCACCAGUAUCAUAACUAAACAUCUAUAUGUAUAGGAUAAAACUUGCAGUUAAAUUUUUGCAUUUUAAUCAAUUGUACUUAUUCAUGAAUACUGUUCGUAUAUAAAUAUAUCUAUUUAUAAAACAGCAAACAAA
Molecule: long non-coding RNA, 533 nt
Organism: Aquila chrysaetos chrysaetos
Lineage: Eukaryota; Metazoa; Chordata; Aves; Accipitriformes; Accipitridae
Exons: 2
Source: RefSeq, a predicted model, not a curated record